AUUUAUUAAAGAUGGAUAUUUGGACAAGGACGGGAGAUAUGAAUUUAAAAAUGGUGAUAUUUAUGUUGGUAACUUUAAAGAAGGUCAAUUUCAUGGUAAAGGAUAUUACAAAUGGCAUAAUUCAACUCCUUAUGCAAUUUUCGAAGGAUUUUAUAAAAAUGGAAAAAAACAUGGAUUGGGAAAACUAUCAUGCCCCAAUGGAAAAUUAUUAUUUGGUAAUUUCGUAAAUAAUAAUAUGGAAGGCGAGUUUUUAGAAAUAAGUCCCCAGGGGCAUCAAACGAAAGUUCUGUACAAAAAUGGGCAAUUUAUAAAAAGUAUUGAAAAAAUUAAAGAAGUGUUAGAUACAAAGGAGUAUACCAGUGAUGAUUUAAUUACCUCCCAGAUCUUUUCGGAUCCCGAUGUUUACAAAAGGCUUUAUGAGGUAUGUGUGCUAUAUGUACAUACCCAAACCAUAACUGUUUGCUUUUUAUAAAACUAAAUUUUAAGAAAACAUUCACAACGUGUGUAUAGAUACUUCUUGAAAUAGAACAUUUCAGAAAUCAUUUAUGUAUUUUUUUUUUUUUAUCACUGUUAAUAACAAGUAUAUAUAUAUAUAUAUAUGUGUGUAUUUUGUAUUUAAAUUGUUUUGUUGUUUUUUAUUUUAUUAGUUUAUUAAUUUAUUUAUUUAUUUACUAUUAUUAUUUUUUUUUUCUUAGAUGGAAAAAAAGAAAAAAGCCAAAAUAUUCCUUAAGCUGAAAAGAAAUUAAUUAAACUUAGAAACAAAAAAUUAUAAAAGGGUGUGAUGACGUCUCUUUUUUUUUUUUUUUUUUGUUUUUAUCAUAUGGAUUAAUUUAAAGUUAGUACAUGAGAUAGAAGUAAAGGUUACUUCUUUUUUUUCAGUACAUGAUAAUAAUAUUUCUAUUAUGUUGUCAAUAAUACUAGUGAUAUUAUUUCAUAAACAAAUAUAUAAAAUACGUUUCUCAUUAAUAUAUAUAUAUAUAUAUAUAUAUUAUUUAUUCUACAUUUUCAUAUUUGUGCAAAAUAGUUUUAUGCCAAUUAGUUAAUACACUGCAUAUAUAAAGAAAAAAAAAAAAAUAGUGUCCAAAGGUUCUUCAUGUACAUAUAUAUAUAUAUACAUUUAUGUACACAAUCAUUUUGAGUUAUGAAAAUAAAAAAAAAAGGUGAUACA
Molecule: long non-coding RNA, 1168 nt
Filed under: Piliocolobus tephrosceles (Ugandan red Colobus)
Lineage: Eukaryota; Metazoa; Chordata; Mammalia; Primates; Cercopithecidae
Description: lncRNA (ENSPTEG00000012636.1)
Source: RNAcentral